AUUGAACGCUGGCGGCAUGCCUUACACAUGCAAGUCGAACGGUAACGGGCCUUCGGGUGCCGACGAGUGGCGAACGGGUGAGUAAUACAUCGGAACGUGCCCGAACGUGGGGGAUAACGAGGCGAAAGCUUUGCUAAUACCGCAUACGAUCUACGGAUGACAGCAGGGGACCGCAAGGCCUUGCGCGGACGGGGCGGCCGAUGUCAGAUUAGGUAGUUGGUGGGAUAAAAGCUUACCAAGCCGACGAUCUGUAGCUGGUCUGAGAGGAUGAUCAGCCACACUGGGACUGAGACACGGCCCAGACUCCUACGGGAGGCAGCAGUGGGGAAUAUUGGACAAUGGGCGCAAGCCUGAUCCAGCCAUGCCGCGUGCAGGAUGAAGGCCUUCGGGUUGUAAACUGCUUUUGUACGGAACGAAAAGCCUUCUUUUAAUACAGGAGGGUCAUGACGGUACCGUAAGAAUAAGCACCGGCUAACUACGUG
This 482-nucleotide ribosomal RNA is filed under the name uncultured bacterium. Its description in RNAcentral is "partial 16S ribosomal RNA". It matches the Rfam family "Bacterial small subunit ribosomal RNA", at positions 30 to 507 of the family's 1533-position model. The record is from RNAcentral.